CCUACGGGUGGCAGCAGUGGGGAAUAUUGGACAAUGGGGGGAACCCUGAUCCAGCCAUGCCGCGUGUGUGAAGAAGGCCCUCGGGUUUUAAAGCACUUUCAGUGAGGAAGAACGCCUGGUGGUUAAUACCCAUCAGGAAAGACAUCACUCACAGAAGAAGCACCGGCUAACUCCGUGCCAGCAGCCGCGGUAAUACGGAGGGUGCGAGCGUUAAUCGGAAUUACUGGGCGUAAAGCGCGCGUAGGUGGCUUGAUAAGCCGGUUGUGAAAGCCCCGGGCUCAACCUGGGAACGGCAUCCGGAACUGUCAAGCUAGAGUGCAGGAGAGGAAGGUAGAAUUCCCGGUGUAGCGGUGAAAUGCGUAGAGAUCGGGAGGAAUACCAGUGGCGAAGGCGGCCUUCUGGACUGACACUGACACUGAGGUGCGAAAGCGUGGGUAGCAAACAGGAUUAGAUACCCUUGUAGUC
This 465-nucleotide ribosomal RNA is filed under the name Vreelandella stevensii. RNAcentral's name for it is "partial 16S ribosomal RNA". It matches the Rfam family "Bacterial small subunit ribosomal RNA", at positions 338 to 795 of the family's 1533-position model. Lineage: Bacteria; Pseudomonadati; Pseudomonadota; Gammaproteobacteria; Oceanospirillales; Halomonadaceae. The record is from RNAcentral.